This 1062-nucleotide small RNA is filed under the name Pan troglodytes (chimpanzee). RNAcentral describes it as "retained intron". Lineage: Eukaryota; Metazoa; Chordata; Mammalia; Primates; Hominidae. The record is from RNAcentral.
UACAGAGACAAAAUACAGGAACUUAGAAAUGUUAUGGAAAUUCCAUUCUUCUUCUGACAGCCAGACGGUUAGAGCUUCUCCAGAUGCACGGCUCACCCAGAUAAUGGAGCAGCAUCAGCAAGCCUUGGUGCAGCUGACCGACGUGCAGCCCAGUGAAGGGGCCUUAUCCAGUGUCACGCUUCCACCUAUACUGUCAAGGGUAGAAAGUGAAUCCCAACUCAGUUCAGAGAGAAGCCAAAGAAACCAAGUGAAAAUUAGCCGUAGCAAUUCUGAAGGCUAUCUGUUUCAACUGGAAAAGGGAAAAAAGCAUAAGAAAAGAAGCAGCAGUAAGGUAAUAAAAGCACCAUUUUUACCAAGUAACCUUUCCAUUUUGAGAAUACAGAUGGACCUUGAUGUAAUUAUAGCCCUGAAAUAGGGAUGGUCAUUACUGAGUUGCUGCCACACUGGGUCGCCCAGAGUCCUAAGGAGUUUCUUACUCCUGACCCUGCUACUCCCUGGGGUUUCCCUCCCCUUCUUAAUAGAAGUUGUUGCUGCCAGGGAUGCCCAUUUCUCCCUCCUGUUCAAGUCAUCUUGGCGAGAGGUCUCCAUUUGCAGAGUGGCAAAACUCCUCCUUUCAUCCCCAGCUGAAACAUCCCUUCCUCAGGAAAGCUUCCAUACUCCACCCAAGCCCCAUGCUAACCUGAGUCUUCAUUGUUAUUAAAUCAUUUCUUCCCAGGUCAUUCUCAUAUCUUAAAAAGUAGAGAAAGCAGGGCUGAGUGAGUGAAAGCGCCUGUUGCCAUUGCAUUUUCCCACCAUCUGCCUCUAUGAGGACUCAUAUUGGCCCUAAUCUCACCCCAACUUCUGCAGUAAAAUACCUGGGCUGGCCAGUGAUUGAACGUUCCUCUCAAACAUUAGCUGACCUUUACUGAGUUCUUUGUCUCAAAUCACCAUUACUAGCACCUUUGCGCACUUCAGUCUUUUCUCAUAGGGCCUACAUGAUUUAACAAGUAAAAUUGGGGACCCAAAGUAGAAUGUUUUCAGUAAGAAAUGAAGGCGCCUAGGAAGGGGACUUUUUAUGUCCUG